Molecule: ribosomal RNA, 372 nt
Filed under: Triticum aestivum (bread wheat)
Lineage: Eukaryota; Viridiplantae; Streptophyta; Magnoliopsida; Poales; Poaceae
Description: partial small subunit ribosomal RNA
Source: RNAcentral
AUGCAACCAAAUCCCAGCGCACCUGGUAGUUCAAACUUACAUUGGAUGGCCGGCGAUCAACUGCCCCGCCUCUACAAGCUCCUCAGGGAUGACUUGGUAAUAGUUGGGAUCCCCUACAGCGGCCAAAUCCCGGCGCACCCAGCCGCCUCUCGUGGUCCCCGCUCCUUCAGCUCCACUUCACCGGCGCUGUCAGUCCACAGGAGUAGGGGAGGCGUGCCCAUCAACAAACAAGAACAUAAGGGAGAAGCAGCAGGGACAGUACGCGUCGGUGUCUAUAUUCAGCUUUAUUUUUGUUUUGAAGUUGAUGUGAAAGAGCUUUUGAAAGCAAACAUCAGUCCAGUUUCGUUUUGUAUCAGCUGCUCCAAGGAAUGA